This 468-nucleotide ribosomal RNA is filed under the name uncultured bacterium. RNAcentral's name for it is "partial 16S ribosomal RNA". It matches the Rfam family "Bacterial small subunit ribosomal RNA", at positions 28 to 507 of the family's 1533-position model. The record is from RNAcentral.
GACGAACGCUGGCGGCGUGCUUAACACAUGCAAGUCGAACGGAAAGGCCCUGCUUUUGUGGGGUGCUCGAGUGGCGAACGGGUGAGUAACACGUGUGUAACCUGCCCUUGACUUUGGGAUAACUUCAGGAAACUGGGGCUAAUACCGGAUAGGAGCUCCUGCUGCAUGGUGGGGGUUGGAAAGUUUCGGCGGUUGGGGAUGGACUCGCGGCUUAUCAGCUUGUUGGUGGGGUAGUGGCUUACCAAGGCUUUGACGGGUAGCCGGCCUGAGAGGGUGACCGGCCACAUUGGGACUGAGAUACGGCCCAGAUUCCUACGGGAGGCAGCAGUGGGGAAUAUUGCACAAUGGGCGGAAGCCUGAUGCAGCAACGCCGCGUGCGGGAUGACGGCCUUCGGGUUGUAAACCGCUUUCGCCUGUGACGAAGCGUGAGUGACGGUAAUGGGUAAAGAAGCACCGGCUAACUACGUG